GCAAGUCGACGAUGAACCACUUCGGUGGGGAUUAGUGGCGAACGGGUGAGUAACACGUGGGCAAUCUGCCCUGCACUCUGGGACAAGCCCUGGAAACGGGGUCUAAUACCGGAUACUGAUCAUCUUGGGCAUCCAAGGUGUUCGAAAGCUCCGGCGGUGCAGGAUGAGCCCGCGGCCUAUCAGCUUGUUGGUGAGGUAAUGGCUCACCAAGGCGACGACGGGUAGCCGGCCUGAGAGGGCGACCGGCCACACUGGGACUGAGACACGGCCCAGACUCCUAACGGAGAGGGCAGCCAAGUGGGGGAAAUAUUGCACAAUGGGACGAAAGCCUGAUGCAGCGACGCCGCGUGAAGGGAUGAACGGCCUUCGGGUUGUAAAACCUCUUUCAGCAAGGGAAGGAAGACGAAAGUGACAGGUACCUUGCAGAAGAAGCGCCGGGCUAACUACGUGCCAGCAGCCGCGGUAAUACGUAGGGGCGCGAGCGUUGUCCGGAAAUUAUUGGGCGUAAAAGAAGCUCGUAGGCGGCUUGUCACGUCGGUUGUGAAAGCCCGGGGCUUAAACCCCGGGUCUGCAGUCGAUACGGGCAGGCUAGAGUUCGGUAGGGGAGAUCGGAAUUCCUGGUGUAGCGGUGAAAUGCGCAGAUAUCAGGAGGAACACCGGUGGCGAAGGCGGAUCUCUGGGCCGAUACUGACGCUGAGGAGCGAAAGCGUGGGGAGCGAACAGGAUUAGAUACCCUGGUAGUCCACGCCGUAAACGGUGGGCACUAGGUGUGGGCAACAUUCCACGUUGUCCGUGCCGCAGCUAACGCAUUAAGUGCCCCGCCUGGGGAGUACGGCCGCAAGGCUAAAACUCAAAGGAAUUGACGGGGGCCCGCACAAGCGGCGGAGCAUGUGGCUUAAUUCGACGCAACGCGAAGAACCUUUACCAAGGCUUGACAUACACCGGAAACGUCUGGAGACAGGCGCCCCCUUGUGGUCGGUGUACAGGUGGUGCAUGGCCUGUCGUCAGCUCGUGUCGUGAGAUGUUGGGUUAAGUCCCGCAACGAGCGCAACCCUUGUCCCGUGUUGCCAGCAGGCCCUUGUGGUGCUGGGGAUCUCACGGGAGACCGUCCGGGGUCAACUCGGAGGAAGGUGGGGACGACGUCAAGUCAUCAUGCCCCUUAUGUCUUGGGCUGCACACGUGUCUACAAUGGCCGGUACAAUGAGCCUGGCGAUACCGUGAGGGUGUGAGACUGAAUCUUCAAAAAGCCGGUCUCAGUUCGGAUUGGGGUCUGCAACUCGACCCCAUGAAGUCGGAGUCGCUAGUAAUCGCAGAUCAGCAUUGCUGCGGUGAAUACGUUCCCGGGCCUUGUACACACCGCCCGUCACGUCACGAAAGUCGGUAACACCCGAAGCCGGUGGCCCAACCUCCUUGUG
RNAcentral lists this ribosomal RNA (1415 nucleotides) under Streptomyces sp. DR-R5. RNAcentral's name for it is "bacterial SSU rRNA". It matches the Rfam family "Bacterial small subunit ribosomal RNA". The record is from RNAcentral. Lineage: Bacteria; Bacillati; Actinomycetota; Actinomycetes; Kitasatosporales; Streptomycetaceae.